This is a small nucleolar RNA of Trypanosoma brucei brucei TREU927, 79 nucleotides long. NCBI's taxonomy places the organism in Eukaryota, Euglenozoa, Kinetoplastea, Trypanosomatida, Trypanosomatidae. The record is from RefSeq and is a predicted model, not a curated record.
GCGUGUGAUGAAUACCUAAUAUAACAAAUUAACAGCAACAUCUGAACAGAACCCGUGACGCUAAUAUUGUUUCUGACGC